AUUGAACGCUGGCGGCAGGCCUAACACAUGCAAGUCGAGCGGCAGCGGGAAAGUAGCUUGCUACUUUUGCCGGCGAGCGGCGGACGGGUGAGUAAUGCCUAGGGAUCUGCCCAGUCGAGGGGGAUAACAGUUGGAAACGACUGCUAAUACCGCAUACGCCCUACGGGGGAAAGGAGGGGACCUUCGGGCCUUCCGCGAUUGGAUGAACCUAGGUGGGAUUAGCUAGUUGGUGAGGUAAUGGCUCACCAAGGCGACGAUCCCUAGCUGUUCUGAGAGGAUGAUCAGCCACACUGGGACUGAGACACGGCCCAGACUCCUACGGGAGGCAGCAGUGGGGAAUAUUGCACAAUGGGGAAACCCUGAUGCAGCCAUGCCGCGUGUGUGAAGAAGGCCUUCGGGUUGUAAA
This 406-nucleotide ribosomal RNA is filed under the name uncultured bacterium. RNAcentral describes it as "bacterial SSU rRNA". It matches the Rfam family "Bacterial small subunit ribosomal RNA", at positions 30 to 429 of the family's 1533-position model. The record is from RNAcentral.